RNAcentral lists this ribosomal RNA (405 nucleotides) under uncultured bacterium. Its description in RNAcentral is "partial 16S ribosomal RNA". It matches the Rfam family "Bacterial small subunit ribosomal RNA", at positions 28 to 526 of the family's 1533-position model. The record is from RNAcentral.
GAUGAACGCUGGCGGCGUGCCUAAUACAUGCAAGUCGAGCGCAGCGGGGACGGGUGAGUAACACGUGGAAACCCUCCUUUAAGCAUGGAAUAACUUCGGGAAACCGUAGCUAAACGUGCUACUUAUUGAUGGAUCCGCGCUGCAUUAGCUAGUUGGUAAGGUAACGGCUUACUAAGGGAACGAUGCAUAGCCGACCUGAGAGGGUGAUCGGCCACACUGGAACUGAGACACGGUCCAGACUCCUACGGGAGGCAGCAGUAGGGAAUCUUCCGCAAUGGUCGAAAGCCUGACGGAGCAACGCCGCGUGAGUGAUGAAGGUCUUCGGAUCGUAAAACUCUGUUAGUAGGGAAGCGGUACCUAAUCAGAAAGCCACGGCUAACUACGUGCCAGCAGCCGCGGUAAUAC